This is a long non-coding RNA of Cornus florida, 2456 nucleotides long. RefSeq lists it as uncharacterized. The transcript is spliced from 2 exons. The record is from RefSeq and is a predicted model, not a curated record. NCBI's taxonomy places the organism in Eukaryota, Viridiplantae, Streptophyta, Magnoliopsida, Cornales, Cornaceae.
AAAAAAAUAUAUAUAUAUAUUUAGUAGACAAAUCCCACGCACCCACACAGAAAAAAACACGCACUCUGCUGGUCGGAUCGAAGAUGAAGAUCAGAUCUGGUCAGUUGGGAUCCGUCUUUGUUGAUCAAAGUUGAAAUCGGAGUUUCUCCUCCUGUCAUCUGGUCAUACGGGUCAUACGGAACGAAUCCACACACCCACACAGAAAAAACCACACACACACUGCUGGUCGGAUCGAAGAUGAAGAUCAGAUCUGGUCAGUUGGGAUCCGUCUUUGUUGAUCGAAGUUGAAAUCGGAGUUUCUCCUCCUGUCAUCUGGUCAUACGGAACGAAAAACAAUGAGGCUCACCUUAAUGUAUGGGUGUCGGAGGCUUCCUUUCUGUGUUGAUACGACCUACUAUUAUUGAUCUCAACUAUCGUUCCACACCGACCGAGAAGGUGAGUGGUUCUUUAGGUACAGCGGUUCGGAUAGAAGGCUUGUUUAUAGCCGGUUUCUUGAUUUCCAUAGAUAGAUCGUUUGUUCAUCACUCUUUCUCGAAGCCCUAACCUGUGAAAUUGUUUUUUCCUCUUUCCAUCAAGCCUCUUUUAGUUGGCCAUAGGAGCAAACCCUAACCCCUAAAGAAGAAACCCUAAGUCUGGAAUCCUCCAUUAGAGACGCGAAGGUAUGUUCGGCGAUUUGUAGACGACUGUUGCUGUUAGGUUUGUUUACAAUCUAUUUCUCUGUGUAUAAUGGUAGAAAGGCGCGAAGGUGUGUUCAAUUUAUAUGCAUGUGUUUGUGUUAGUAUGAGUGUGCUUUGGCAAUUACAGGAUUGGGAUUUCUUAGGAGGCCGCUUGCCAUUGUUGCUGCUGAAUUGACAGCUCUUACAAUAGCUUUUCUAAAUGACAGAAUUUUCACUGUAUAUUGCUUCUUGAAGACUCUUUUAGGAGAAAAGACCAGCGAGCGAGGACAAAGGUACCACGGUAGCACCUAGUUACAAUUGCCUUUCUUUGUGAUUUUCACCGUGAUAAGCUUCUUGUAUCUAACACAAUCUUUGCUUCUUCUUUGUCAUUUUAACUUGAUAGGAAAUUAAGACUCGUAUGCUUGAUUUGUUAGGAAAAUGAGAAUGAAAUAUAAAAUAACUUAAUAUCCCGUAUAUUUUCUUGUGAAUAAACCAAGUAAAAGGUUUUUUAUAUUCACUGUGGACCUUGGAGUUGGUUUAAUGGAAUUAAUGAUGACCUUCGUUUUGUUCAUUGUCUGAGAAUUGAGAUGAUGGGGUAAAAUCUGUUAGAGAACUGUUGUAUUUUAGUGAGGCUUGUUACACUUUAAAGAUACCUUAGACAAAUUAUUAUCAUAUUAGGCAAAUUAUUAUCAUACUCCCUGAAAACCAUAAUUUCCCACUCCCACUGUCUGAGCAAACUUCAAAAACAUCCAAUUUUCUUUGUUUCCUUGUAUAAAGAAAUUAAUCCCCCUGAAAACCAUACCCAUCCAAUGUCUGGUACCAUAUUUGUCCAUCUCAUUAAUUUUUGCAGCAGUUGAGACUUGAGAGAGGUAUGUGCUGGGUAAGUGCAACAACAGUUAUUGAGAGAAGACACAGUGUACUGUUUUGAGUUUUUGCAUUACCAGCUUCUGUCCUGCUCAUUAAAUGUUAAAACACACAUAAAAAUAAUAAUAAUAAUAAUAAUUUAAAAAUAAUUGUAAACUGAAAAAUCCCAAUUAUCAAAUCUGCAAUUCUAAUUGGGGAAAGUGGGGUUCACCAUCAUCAUAUACCCUUAGAUUUUAAUGAAGAAAAUUGACAAAAUUCCAGAAUAAGCAUGGAUAUGGUUUUACUCUACUUGUACAGUUGUACCAUCCAAGUUGUUCUUUUAAUCACAUGGCAGACAUCAACAUCAAAGUAUAAUAGGCUUAACAUGUACUUAAAAGUCUUCAACAGGAAACAGAUUAUUCAAAAUUCUCUUAUGUUAGUGAGAGGAUAAUAAUUCCUCAAAACCAAUAAUUUCAAAAUUCUCUUCGUUUUGUUCAUUGUUUGAGAAUAUAUAUUGAUACUUUUGUUGCUCAUUACUACUCAAAUGAUUUCUUUUGGUGACAGGAUGUCAAUGACCCAAGAUAUUGAGUUAAUACGAAGAGUAGAACUUUUCAAUGUACCUUUAUUAUAUUGCUUACUUUGCUUGGUUUAAUUUUGACAACUUUACAACUUGUUUUACAUUUUCUAACUUUAACUAUUACAUCUUUAUAGGUCAAAGCUAGGAUUGUGGUUGCCGUUGCAUUUUUUGUUGCCGUUAUAUUUUUUGUAUGGCUCAUGAAAAAGAUGCAUAUAUGUAAUGGAAGGGAGAGACUAAAACAGAGCAAGAAGAUAUAAGAAUUUUUGUUUUAUUUUGGUAUAUGGUAUAAGAAGCAACAAGUUUGUAUAUGGCUAAUUUUUGUAUAAAACAAUGAUUUGGAAUUGAUUAUAUAUAUAUAUGAUGUUAUUAGUUAGUUGUAA